Molecule: ribosomal RNA, 274 nt
Filed under: uncultured bacterium
Lineage: Bacteria
Description: partial 16S ribosomal RNA
Rfam family: Bacterial small subunit ribosomal RNA
Source: RNAcentral
AUACGGAGGGUGCGAGCGUUAAUCGGAAUUACUGGGCGUAAAGCGCGCGUAGGCGGCUUUGUAAGUCGGAUGUGAAAGCCCUGGGCUCAACCUGGGAAUUGCACUCGAUACUGCAGAGCUAGAGUAUGGUAGAGGGAAGUGGAAUUUCCGGUGUAGCGGUGAAAUGCGUAGAUAUCGGAAGGAACACCAGUGGCGAAGGCGACUUCCUAGGCCAAUACUGACGCUGAGGUGCGAAAGCGUGGGGAGCAAACAGGAUUAGAAACCCGGGUAGUCC